Molecule: long non-coding RNA, 413 nt
Organism: Pongo pygmaeus (Bornean orangutan)
Lineage: Eukaryota; Metazoa; Chordata; Mammalia; Primates; Hominidae
Exons: 2
Source: RefSeq, a predicted model, not a curated record
AGAAGCACCACAAGGCACCAUCAUUAAAGUCACCAUCUGGCAUAACUGGAAAUGUCAGCAAAUAGGGAGUGCAUAUUGAUGGGCAUACUACUGUUUACGCCUUUUAACUGAUGCUGAUAGUAUCUCACCUUGAGCAAACUAAAUCUUGUUCAUCAGACAUGCAGAAGCAGCCAAGACAUUAAUGUACCAAGGCACUUCUCAACCAAUAGAGGAAAGAAGUUUGUCAUCGUCAAUCCACAGAUACAUCACUGUGACAAGCAUCCUUUAUGCUCAGAAAGUUCCAGGGAGAAUCAAGCCUAAGUUCAGUACAGUUGCCUCAGUAAUAUACCCUACUUUUCCUUCUUCCUUUGUUCCUCUUCAUCCCUCAUUCCUGCUUUCUGGGAUUACCACACAAAUAGACUACCUAAACACAA